Molecule: ribosomal RNA, 573 nt
Filed under: uncultured Pseudomonadota bacterium
Lineage: Bacteria; Pseudomonadati; Pseudomonadota
Description: bacterial SSU rRNA
Rfam family: Bacterial small subunit ribosomal RNA
Source: RNAcentral
UGAGUAAUGUCUGGGAAACUGCCUGAUGGAGGGGGAUAACUACUGGAAACGGUAGCUAAUACCGCAUAACGUCGCAAGACCAAAGAGGGGGACCUUCGGGCCUCUUGCCAUCGGAUGUGCCCAGAUGGGAUUAGCUUGUUGGUGGGGUAACGGCUCACCAAGGCGACGAUCCCUAGCUGGUCUGAGAGGAUGACCAGCCACACUGGAACUGAGACACGGUCCAGACUCCUACGGGAGGCAGCAGUGGGGAAUAUUGCACAAUGGGCGCAAGCCUGAUGCAGCCAUGCCGCGUGUAUGAAGAAGGCCUUCGGGUUGUAAAGUACUUUCAGCGGGGAGGAAGGGAGUAAAGUUAAUACCUUUGCUCAUUGACGUUACCCGCAGAAGAAGCACCGGCUAACUCCGUGCCAGCAGCCGCGGUAAUACGGAGGGUGCAAGCGUUAAUCGGAAUUACUGGGCGUAAAGCGCACGCAGGCGGUUUGUUAAGUCAGAUGUGAAAUCCCCGGGCUCAACCUGGGAACUGCAUCUGAUACUGGCAAGCUUGAGUCUCGUAGAGGGGGGUAGAAUUCCAGGUGU